This 459-nucleotide ribosomal RNA is filed under the name uncultured bacterium. RNAcentral's name for it is "partial 16S ribosomal RNA". It matches the Rfam family "Bacterial small subunit ribosomal RNA", at positions 338 to 795 of the family's 1533-position model. The record is from RNAcentral.
CCUACGGGAGGCAGCAGUGAGGAAUAUUGGUCAAUGGGCGGGAGCCUGAACCAGCCAAGCCGCGUGAGGGAAGAAGGUACAGCGUAUCGUAAACCUCUUUUGUCAGGGAACAAAGGCGGGGACUAGUCCCCGUAUGAGGGUACCUGAAGAAAAAGCAUCGGCUAACUCCGUGCCAGCAGCCGCGGUAAUACUGAGGAUGCGAGCGUUAUCCGGAUUUAUUGGGUUUAAAGGGUGCGCAGGCGGCCUGUUAAGUCAGCGGUAAAAGCCCGGGGCUCAACCCCGGCGAGCCGUUGAAACUGGCGGGCUGGAGUUGGAGAGAAGUACGUGGAAUGCGCGGUGUAGCGGUGAAAUGCUUAGAUAUCGCGCAGAACCCCGAUUGCGAAGGCAGCGUACCGGCUCCACACUGACGCUGAGGCACGAAAGCGUGGGUAUCGAACAGGAUUAGAUACCCUUGUAGUC